Molecule: transfer-messenger RNA, 360 nt
Filed under: Bowmanella yangjiangensis
Lineage: Bacteria; Pseudomonadati; Pseudomonadota; Gammaproteobacteria; Alteromonadales; Alteromonadaceae
Description: Standard tmRNA
Rfam family: transfer-messenger RNA
About the family: Bacterial tmRNA, also known as 10Sa RNA or SsrA, is named for its dual tRNA and mRNA-like properties. Its role is to liberate the mRNA from a stalled ribosome.
Source: RNAcentral
GGGGCUGAUUUUGGAUUCGACAGGAUUCUGGACGCCCGAGGUGCAUGCAGAGGUUGUGGCUGGCCUCUUAAAAAAGCCACUUUAAAGUAGUCGCAAACGACGAAAACUACGCUCUAGCCGCUUAAUAACCGGUUUAGAGCCCUUCCACUCUGGCCUCGUCCAUGGGUAGAGGUUCGGAAGGUCAUCAUCAUGGACUAGCGAGGGAAACUUCCUGAGGUUGAACCGCGAAAUAGUAUCAGGACAGCUACAAGGAACCCUGUCUGCCGGGGUCCAACGUAGUUAAAUAAAAGACAGACUAAGCAUGUAGUACCAACGGUUGACGCUUUCUGGACGCGGGUUCAAGUCCCGCCAGCUCCACCA